GACGAACGCUGGCGGCGCGCUUAACACAUGCAAGUCGAACGGAAAGGCCUGCUUUCCCUUGUGGAUUGCGGGUACUCGAGUGGCGAACGGGUGAGUAACACGUGAGUGAUCUGCCCCCAACUUGGGUAUAAGCCUGGGAAACUGGGUCUAAUUCCCGAUAGGACUGCAGGGUGGUGCCUGUGGUGGAAAACGAUUUUCUAGUGGUUGGGGGUGAGCUCGCGGCCUAUCAGCUUGUUGGUGGGGUAAUGGCCUACCAAGGCGGCGACGGGUAGCCGGCCUGAGAGGGUGGACGGCCACAUUGGGACUGAGAUACGGCCCAGACUCCUACGGGAGGCAGCAGUGGGGAAUAUUGCACAAUGGGCGGAAGCCUGAUGCAGCGACGCCGCGUGGGGGAUGACGGCCUUCGGGUUGUAAACUCCUUUCGACCGCGAGGAAGCCACCUGGUUGGAAGGGUGGUGACGGUAGUGGUAGAAGAAGCACCGGCUAACUACGUG
RNAcentral lists this ribosomal RNA (494 nucleotides) under uncultured bacterium. RNAcentral describes it as "partial 16S ribosomal RNA". It matches the Rfam family "Bacterial small subunit ribosomal RNA", at positions 28 to 507 of the family's 1533-position model. The record is from RNAcentral.